AUUGAACGCUGGCGGCAGGCCUAACACAUGCCAGUCGAGCGGAUGAAGGGAGCUUGCUCCUGGAUUCAGCGGCGGACGGGUGAGUAAUGCCUAGGAAUCUGCCUGGUAGUGGGGGAUAACGUCCGGAAACGGGCGCUAAUACCGCAUACGUCCUGAGGGAGAAAGUGGGGGAUCUUCGGACCUCACGCUAUCAGAUGAGCCUAGGUCGGAUUAGCUAGUUGGUGGGGUAAAGGCCUACCAAGCCGACGAUCCGUAACUGGUCUGAGAGGAUGAUCAGUCACACGGGAACUGAACCACGGUCCAGACGCCUGCGGGAGGCAGCAGUGGGGAAUAUUGGACAAUGGGCGAAAGCCUGAUCCAGCCGUGCCGCGUGUGUGAAGAAAGUCUUCGGAUUGUAAAGCACUUUAAGUUGGGAGGAAGGGCAGUAAGUUAAUACCUUGCUGUUUUGACGUUACCAACAGAAUAAGCACCGGCUAACUUCGUG
RNAcentral lists this ribosomal RNA (484 nucleotides) under uncultured bacterium. RNAcentral describes it as "partial 16S ribosomal RNA". It matches the Rfam family "Bacterial small subunit ribosomal RNA", at positions 30 to 507 of the family's 1533-position model. The record is from RNAcentral.